GAUGCAGAACGUAGCGAAAUGCGAUAAGUAAUGUGAAUUGCAGAAUUCAGUGAAUCAUCGAAUCUUUGAACGCACAUUGCGCCCCCUGGUAUUCCGGGGGGCAUGCCUGUUCGAGCGUCAUUUCACCACUCAAGCCUCGCUUGGUAUUGGGCAACGCGGUCCGCCGCGUGCCUCAAAUCGUCCGGCUGGGUCUUCUGUCCCCUAAGCGUUGUGGAAACUAUUCGCUAAAGGGUGUUCGGGAGGCUACGCCGUAAAACAACCCCAUUUCUAAGGUUGACCUCGGAUCAGGUAGGGAUACCCGCUGAACUUAAGCAUAUCAAUAAGCGGAGGA
Molecule: unclassified non-coding RNA, 331 nt
Filed under: soil metagenome
Description: partial contains 5.8S ribosomal RNA, internal transcribed spacer 2, and large subunit ribosomal RNA
Rfam family: 5.8S ribosomal RNA (bases 1-120)
Source: RNAcentral